This 384-nucleotide ribosomal RNA is filed under the name uncultured bacterium. RNAcentral's name for it is "partial 16S ribosomal RNA". It matches the Rfam family "Bacterial small subunit ribosomal RNA", at positions 338 to 739 of the family's 1533-position model. The record is from RNAcentral.
CCUACGGGUGGCAGCAGUGGGGGAUAUUGCACAAUGGGGGAAACCCUGAUGCAGCGACGCCGCGUGGGUGAAGAAGCGCCUCGGCGCGUAAAGCCCUGUCAGCAGGGAAGAAAAUGACGGUACCUGAAGAAGAAGCCCCGGCUAACUACGUGCCAGCAGCCGCGGUAAUACGUAGGGGGCAAGCGUUAUCCGGAUUUACUGGGUGUAAAGGGGCCGCAGACGGCGGUGCAAGCCAGGAGUGAAAGCCCGGGGCCAAACCCCGGGACUGCUCUUGGAACUGCGUGGCUAGGGGGCAGAGGGGGAAGGGGGAAUUCCUGGUGUAGGGGGAAAAGGGGUGGAAAUCAGGGGGAAACCCGGUGGGAAGGGCGGCCUGCUGAACUGCAA